Molecule: ribosomal RNA, 474 nt
Filed under: uncultured Desulfobulbus sp.
Lineage: Bacteria; Pseudomonadati; Thermodesulfobacteriota; Desulfobulbia; Desulfobulbales; Desulfobulbaceae
Description: bacterial SSU rRNA
Rfam family: Bacterial small subunit ribosomal RNA
Source: RNAcentral
GACGGGGCCCGCACAAGCGGUGGAGUAUGUGGUUUAAUUCGAUGCAACGCGAAGAACCUUACCUGGUCUUGACAUCCCGGAGACCCUUAGGAAACUAGGGGUGCUUCCAUCUGGAAGAACCUGGAGACAGGUGCUGCAUGGCUGUCGUCAGCUCGUGUCGUGAGAUGUUGGGUUAAGUCCCGCAACGAGCGCAACCCUUGCCUUUAGUUGCCAGCAGUUCGGCUGGGCACUCUAAAGGGACUGCCGGUGUUAAACCGGAGGAAGGUGGGGAUGACGUCAAGUCCUCAUGGCCUUUAUGACCAGGGCUACACACGUACUACAAUGGCCGAUACAAAGGGCAGCGACACUGCGAGGUGAAGCCAAUCCCGUAAAAUCGGUCUCAGUCCGGAUUGGAGUCUGCAACUCGACUCCAUGAAGUUGGAAUCGCUAGUAAUCGUGGAUCAGCAUGCCACGGUGAAUACGUUCCCGGGCCUU